CAUCCAACACCUACGGGGAUAAGCGUUCAAGAUUUAGACAGAGGAUUUACACAGGAAAGGAAGGACAAAGACAGAAAUUCUCCCAAAACAGAAAACAAUACAAUGGAUUUUUCCAAAAAAAUGCGUUUUUGGAAGAAGCUUGCCGCCAACCAAACGGUUGCUCCAGGGCCAAGUAAUCUGCAGAACGCAGAUAAGACAGAUAUGACAGCGGCUCAACAAACCAUUACGAGUCAAGCGUCAGAGAUCUCAAGUCUGAAAGAGAGUCUUCAAGAUGUCAAAAAGAUGUUUGAAGAUCGUGAAGCAGAAGUGCAGCUUCUGGUAAGUAGGGCGAUCGAGUCAAACAACCUUGAACUUGCGGACCACUUCUCAGAGAAGGCGGCCAAACUCCAACAGAUCCAGACAAACUCUACACAAGAGUACGAGAUUCUCCUGGCAGAACACCAAAACGUGGUUUUUGCCCUCCAUGCUGAGCAGGCCAAGACAACGCAGCUGGAGGAACAUAAGAACGUUCUGGAACAGAAAAGAAUGUUCUUGGAACAGAAAAUUGAGGUUCUGGAGGAGGGAAAGAAGGUUCUAGAUGAGGAAGGGAUUGUCCUGGGGGAGAAAAAAAUGGCCCUGGAACAGGAAAAUAUGCUCUUGGGGCAGAAAAAUAUCACCCUGGGCCAGGAAAACAUGCUCUUGGGGCAGAAAAAUAUCGCUCUGGCCCAGGAAAAUAUGCUCUUGGGGCAGAAAAAUAUCGCCCUGGGCCAGGACAAUAUGCUCCUGGGGCAAGAAAAGUUGGCUCUCCAGGACGAAAAGAUGGUCCUUGGGCAGGAAAAGGAAGUCCUGGAGAAGGAAAAGAUGGUUCUUGGCCAGGAAAAUGUCAUCCUCGAGGAUAUUUGCCUCGAGCUGAGGAAAAGAAUUCUAGGAUUCUUUGGACGGAAGAUGGAGGACAGAGCCACAGAGAUGGCAAAGCUGAAGAGGAAGAUGGCAGAUCAGGAAAGGAGGAGAGGAUUUUUCCAUCGCCUCUUCAGGAGGUAAACGCCUCCAUGAGAUUUUUCUCCCGGUGCUCGGGUUUUUAAAAAGGAAAAUGGUGGAGACGGGGGGUGGAUUUUGCCACCUGAUCGUCAGGAGGUAGACGGUAGGCAAAAUACAAGUUUAGCAAGGCGGUGAGAGACGCUAAACGACUGUACUCUGAGAAACUCCAACAACAGUUCUCAGCAAGUGACUCUGCUUCGGUUUGGAGAGGCCUCAAACACCUCACCAACUACAAGCCAAAAACCCCCCACUCCAUGAAUGACCUCCGCCUGGCAGACGAGCUCAAUGAGUUCUACUGCAGAUUUGAAAGACAAUGUCCUGAUCCCAUCCCCCACAGCUCCACCAACCUGCUGCAGUCCCCCUCCCCUCCCUCCCCCAGCCCAUCAGGUGCUCACGCCUCUUCAUCAUUAUCACCUUCCCCUCCCCCACCAGCAACGACCCUCUCUAUUCUGGAGAGAGACGUUAACCGGCUCUUUAGAAGACUAAAUCCCCGUAAGGCAGCCGGUCCGGACUCCGUUUCCCCUCACUCCCUGAAGCAUUGUGCUGACCAGCUGUCUCCGGUGUUCACGGACAUCUUCAACACCUCCCUGGAGACAUGCCACGUACCAGCCUGCUUCAAGGCCUCCACCAUCAUCCCUGUCCCCAAGAAGCCCA
Long non-coding RNA from Gasterosteus aculeatus aculeatus (three-spined stickleback), 1671 nucleotides. The record is from Ensembl. Lineage: Eukaryota; Metazoa; Chordata; Actinopteri; Perciformes; Gasterosteidae.